Long non-coding RNA from Vidua chalybeata, 530 nucleotides. RefSeq lists it as uncharacterized. Lineage: Eukaryota; Metazoa; Chordata; Aves; Passeriformes; Viduidae. The transcript is spliced from 5 exons. The record is from RefSeq and is a predicted model, not a curated record.
UGCAGCCAACAUCAACGUUUCCAAAUAGCUCAAUGGGCAAGUGGCAGCUUGAGUGCAAAUCAGAACAGCCUGAGGGCAGCCCUAAUUUAUAGCAAUGUAACCAAGCAAUGGAAAGAGAAAUCCAAGGAAAAUGCUGUUUUGCAGAUACAAAUCAUGAAGUGAAAGAUCAUCCUUUUUCACUCUAUUAACUAGCACAAAUGUCUGAGCCUUCCUUAGAAAAGCAAUGUAUGCAGGAUGCUAACGAAAAGAAACAAUGAAGCGAAUAGAUCAUCUGGAUAGAAAUAGAUGUUUCAGACUCCAAGGACUUGCUGUGGAAAACCUGGCUGUGAACCCAUGGUGGUUGGCCACAGGAGGUCACAGGAAGAAGCCAGCUCAGCUGUUGGUUGCAUUCUAUGAUGUUCCUUGUGAUACAGAAAGAGUAUUUGUCCUGGAUGCACACAUUGGAAAGUAACUUCUAAGUUUGGAUAGCAAACUAGACUAAUCCAAACAAUUGUUCACCCAAACUUUGUUUUCAUCAAAGUGUUAACAAA